RNAcentral lists this ribosomal RNA (492 nucleotides) under uncultured bacterium. Its description in RNAcentral is "partial 16S ribosomal RNA". It matches the Rfam family "Bacterial small subunit ribosomal RNA", at positions 29 to 507 of the family's 1533-position model. The record is from RNAcentral.
AGUGAACGCUGGCGGUAGGCCUAACACAUGCAAGUCGAACGGCAGCACAGUAAGAGCUUGCUCUUACGGGUGGCGAGUGGCGGACGGGUGAGGAAUACAUCGGAAUCUACUUUUUCGUGGGGGAUAACGUAGGGAAACUUACGCUAAUACCGCAUACGACCUACGGGUGAAAGCAGGGGAUCUUCGGACCUUGCGCGAUUGAAUGAGCCGAUGUCGGAUUAGCUAGUUGGCGGGGUAAAGGCCCACCAAGGCGACGAUCCGUAGCUGGUCUGAGAGGAUGAUCAGCCACACUGGAACUGAGACACGGUCCAGACUCCUACGGGAGGCAGCAGUGGGGAAUAUUGGACAAUGGGCGCGAGCCUGAUCCAGCCAUACCGCGUGGGUGAAGAAGGCCUUCGGGUUGGAAAGCCCUUUUGUUGGGAAAGAAAAGCAGCAGGUUAAUACCCCGCUGUUCUGACGGUACCCAAAGAAUAAGCACCGGCUAACUUCGUG